GAUGAACGCUGGCGGCGUGCCUAAUACAUGCAAGUCGAGCGAACAGACGAGGAGCUUGCUCCUCUGACGUUAGCGGCGGACGGGUGAGUAACACGUGGAUAACCUACCUAUAAGACUGGGAUAACUUCGGGAAACCGGAGCUAAUACCGGAUAAUAUAUUGAACCGCAUGGUUCAAUAGUGAAAGACGGUUUUGCUGUCACUUAUAGAUGGAUCCACGCCGCAUUAGCUAGUUGGUAAGGUAACGGCUUACCAAGGCGACGAUGCGUAGCCGACCUGAGAGGGUGAUCGGCCACACUGGAACUGAGACACGGUCCAGACUCCUACGGGAGGCAGCAGUAGGGAAUCUUCCGCAAUGGGCGAAAGCCUGACGGAGCAACGCCGCGUGAGUGAUGAAGGUCUUCGGAUCGUAAAACUCUGUUAUUAGGGAAGAACAAAUGUGUAAGUAACUAUGCACGUCUUGACGGUACCUAAUCAGAGAGCCACGGCUAACUACGUG
RNAcentral lists this ribosomal RNA (497 nucleotides) under uncultured bacterium. RNAcentral's name for it is "partial 16S ribosomal RNA". It matches the Rfam family "Bacterial small subunit ribosomal RNA", at positions 28 to 507 of the family's 1533-position model. The record is from RNAcentral.